This 431-nucleotide long non-coding RNA is filed under the name Populus trichocarpa (black cottonwood). RNAcentral describes it as "long non-coding RNA (PTRI_LNC003926)". Lineage: Eukaryota; Viridiplantae; Streptophyta; Magnoliopsida; Malpighiales; Salicaceae. The record is from RNAcentral.
AAAUGUUUUCAGCCAAAGUGUUAGUCAAUGAAGAACAAGCUCAAAGACAGUAUCCCGAUCAGUAGAAUCUCCCAAGAACAGAUUUUGCACAGCACAUCCUGAGUAUUGAGUGGGAAAGAGUUAUAAAUUUAUAAUCAACCUUGAUGGGCAGAAUUAACACAAAAAGAUGAAACAUUUAUUAUUAGCUAACAUCUCUGAAAUGUUAUUGCUGAACCAAACUCUCUACCUGUUUAUCAGGGAUGUGAGAAAUCCUCGGCUAAUCCUGCCCUAUCUCCUGUCGACACCUUUUCCCAGCAAGAGACUUUCAUUAUUAGCCAAGGAACAAGUAAUAAACUUUAUAAUUCAGAGAUAUAUGACACACACGAAAUGAAAGCUGUCAAGAGAGGAGAGUCUCAAGGGAAAGAAAGCUUAGACGAAGAUCUUGACAUUCA